Molecule: ribosomal RNA, 313 nt
Filed under: uncultured fungus
Lineage: Eukaryota; Fungi
Description: eukaryotic LSU rRNA
Rfam family: 5.8S ribosomal RNA (bases 1-104)
Source: RNAcentral
AAGGGCGAUAAGUAAUGUGAAUUGCAGAAUUCAGUGAAUCAUCGAAUCUUUGAACGCAACUUGCGCUCUCUGGUAUUCCGGAGAGCAUGCCUGUUUGAGUGUCAUAGAAAUCUCCAACCAGUUAGGGUUUCUUAAUGGCUUGGAUUUGGGUGUUGCCAGUCUCUGGCUCGCCUUAAAGGAGUUAGCGAGUUUAACAAUGUCGUCUGGCGUAAUAAGUUUCGCUGGUAAGACUUGUGAAGUUUGCUUCUAAUCGUCUUCGGACAAUUACUUUGACUCUGGCCUCAAAUCAGGUAGGACUACCCGCUGAACUUAA